This 276-nucleotide ribosomal RNA is filed under the name Bacillus thuringiensis. RNAcentral's name for it is "partial 16S ribosomal RNA". It matches the Rfam family "Bacterial small subunit ribosomal RNA", at positions 1 to 264 of the family's 1533-position model. The record is from RNAcentral. RNAcentral also lists the same sequence under 1 other name. Lineage: Bacteria; Bacillati; Bacillota; Bacilli; Caryophanales; Bacillaceae.
UUUAUUGGAGAGUUUGAUCCUGGCUCAGGAUGAACGCUGGCGGCGUGCCUAAUACAUGCAAGUCGAGCGAAUGGAUUGAGAGCUUGCUCUCAAGAAGUUAGCGGCGGACGGGUGAGUAACACGUGGGUAACCUGCCCAUAAGACUGGGAUAACUCCGGGAAACCGGGGCUAAUACCGGAUAACAUUUUGAACCGCAUGGUUCGAAAUUGAAAGGCGGCUUCGGCUGUCACUUAUGGAUGGACCCGCGUCGCAUUAGCUAGUUGGUGAGGUAACGGC